UUUCUCCCAUUCGCGGUCAUGCUAAAAUCCCCAAAAUCCUCAAAUCAAAAUCCCUAAACUCACCAAACCAAAAUCCCCAAAAUCCCAAUCCCAGAAUCCCCAAAAUCCUAAAAUGAAAAUCAUUCAGUGCCGGAGUGAAGGAGGGUAAACGACGGCAUUCGCAGAUUGACGAAGGUGAACGACGGCCUUCGCCGAAGUGACGAGGCAACGACUGUGAACGACGAGUGACGAGGCUAGAACGAGGGUGAACGACUGCGAACUACGAGUGAUGAGGCAAGACUGUGAACGACUGUGAACAUUUUAAGGGUCCUGGGGAAGUUGUCUGUGAUGCAUCCAUUGCUCUGUAUCAGCUCUCUGUAGCCUCCACUCCUCUUACCGAGCUAUUGCCAAUUGUAUAUACAUCUACCAGUUCAAAAAAGUACUACUUUUUUUAGGAAUACUCCAGGAAAGAGUCCUCUAGAGGAUCCGAAUAAUGCCUACUUAAACUAGUUGUCACUCCCUCCUCAACCGUCCAAGACUCUAGAACCUUGAAUUCGCUGUACCAGAUCCAUCUGGCCUAGGGCUACAAUCUUCAAUCGAGUCUGACCACUACACCUGCAACAUUCAGAUUGAAGGACAUCCUGCUGCAACAGAAGCGCAUCCUUUACACGCACCUUCGUCCAGUUGCUCCUCAUUUUCAUCCUCUAACCUUGAUACAGAGGAUGAGUUUAAUGGCUAACUCUCUAUACUACCUGAGGAUUGUCGGACUUUGGACGCUAGGAAUGCCAUUAUACAUGAGUUGAUUGGUCAUGACAAUCAUGGAUAUUGUCGCACAUACGGGAGAACUGUGCCUUGGAGAGCAGUGUAUAAAGAUGGUGCAAGGCCAUCACAGUCAGCACCCCAGCCAUCGACUAUUGUUUAGAUCACCCAGCAGGUUCGUGCGGAGCUAAGGGAUGAGUUGAGGAAGGAGUUGCGAGCAGAGUUCUCUACACAUUCACAGCAGCUGAGAGCUGAGAUGAUGGCUUUUGUGUCACAGGGGGCAAGUAUGGAUCCCAACAAACAGGCUCCUGAUGCAUCGAGUGGCCACCGGGCAUUUAGGGAAUCUACAGAAUACGAGAAUCCAUAUACACCACCACCAGAAGAUCAGGUAUAAAGUGUAACUUUACAUUCUAAGCUAUUUACGUUCUUUACAUUCUAAGCUAAGAGACUUGUGGGAGAAGACGGGACUCAAAUUGGGUUCCCGGAUUAGGAGUUAGAGAUGGAUUUCACUCUAGGCAAACUAGUUCUUUAAAAAGCUUGAAUUCGAGGUGUUAACGCCCCAAAAUCACCAAAAGGGGUUGGAUUGGCACGAAACUUGGCACACACGACCGCCUAGGCACGAGAGA
Molecule: non-coding RNA, 1364 nt
Organism: Camellia sinensis
Lineage: Eukaryota; Viridiplantae; Streptophyta; Magnoliopsida; Ericales; Theaceae
Source: RefSeq, a predicted model, not a curated record